AGAGUUUGAUCAUGGCUCAGAUUGAACGCUGGCGGUAUGCUUAACACAUGCAAGUCGAACGGUAGCAGGCCUUCGGGCGCUGACGAGUGGCGGACGGGUGAGUAACGCGUAGGAAUCUGCCUCAUAGUGGGGGACAACGUGUGGAAACGCACGCUAAUACCGCAUACGCCCUACGGGGGAAAGCGGGGGAUCUUCGGACCUCGCGCUAUGAGAUGAGCCUGCGUUGGAUUAGCUAGUUGGUAGGGUAAAGGCCUACCAAGGCGACGAUCCAUAGCUGGUCUGAGAGGACGAUCAGCCACACUGGGACUGAGACACGGCCCAGACUCCUACGGGAGGCAGCAGUGGGGAAUAUUGGACAAUGGGCGCAAGCCUGAUCCAGCAAUACCGCGUGUGUGAAGAAGGCCUUAGGGUUGUAAAGCACUUUCAAUGGGGAGGAAAACCUGCCGGUCAAUACCCGGUAGCUUGACAUUACCUUUAGAAGAAGCACCGGCUAACUCCGUGCCAGCAGCCGCGGUAAUACGGAGGGUGCGAGCGUUAAUCGGAAUUACUGGGCGUAAAGCGUGCGUAGGCGGUCCGUUAAGUCAGAUGUGAAAGCCCCGGGCUCAACCUGGGAACUGCAUUUGAAACUGGCGGACUAGAGUUUAGUAGAGGGGAGUGGAAUUUCAGGUGUAGCGGUGAAAUGCGUAGAUAUCUGAAGGAACACCAGUGGCGAAGGCGACUCCCUGGACUAGAACUGACGCUGAGGUACGAAAGCGUGGGUAGCAAACAGGAUUAGAUACCCUGGUAGUCCACGCCGUAAACGAUGUCAACUAGCCGUUGGCCCUAUUUACAGGGUAGUGGCGCAGCUAACGCAUUAAGUUGACCGCCUGGGGAGUACGGCCGCAAGGUUAAAACUCAAAUGAAUUGACGGGGGCCCGCACAAGCGGUGGAGCAUGUGGUUUAAUUCGAUGCAACGCGAAGAACCUUACCUACCCUUGACAUCCAGAGAAUCUGUUAGAGAUAGUAGAGUGCCUUCGGGAGCUCUGAGACAGGUGCUGCGUGGCUGUCGUCAGCUCGUGUCGUGAGAUGUUGGGUUAAGUCCCGUAACGAGCGCAACCCUUGUCCUUAGUUGCCAGCGGGUCAAGCCGGGAACUCUAGGGAGACUGCCGGUGAUAAACCGGAGGAAGGUGGGGACGACGUCAAGUCAUCAUGGCCCUUAUGGGUAGGGCUACACACGUGCUACAAUGGCCGGUACAGAGGGCUGCGAACUUGCGAAAGUAAGCGAAUCCCAGAAAGCCGGUCUUAGUCCGGAUUGGAGUCUGCAACUCGACUCCAUGAAGUCGGAAUCGCUAGUAAUCGCGAAUCAGAAUGUCGCGGUGAAUACGUUCCCGGGCCUUGUACACACCGCCCGUCACACCAUGGGAGUGGGUUGCAAAAGAAGUGGGUAGUCUAACCUUCGGGAGGGCGCUCACCACUUUGUGAUUCAUGACUGGGGUGAAGUCGUAACAAGGUA
Molecule: ribosomal RNA, 1492 nt
Filed under: metagenome
Description: bacterial SSU rRNA
Rfam family: Bacterial small subunit ribosomal RNA
Source: RNAcentral